RNAcentral lists this transfer RNA (83 nucleotides) under Armatimonas rosea. It matches the Rfam family "tRNA". Rfam says of the family: Transfer RNA (tRNA) molecules are approximately 80 nucleotides in length. Lineage: Bacteria; Bacillati; Armatimonadota; Armatimonadia; Armatimonadales; Armatimonadaceae. The record is from Rfam by way of RNAcentral.
GGGUAGGCUCGGUCGCCGGAGAGACCAGCAGCCUGUAAAGCUGUCGCCUUUGCGCUAUGGGGGUUCAAGUCCCUCCCUACCCA